UGCAAGUCGAGCGGACAGAAGGGAGCUUGCUCCCGGAUGUUAGCGGCGGACGGGUGAGUAACACGUGGGUAACCUGCCUGUAAGACUGGGAUAACUCCGGGAAACCGGAGCUAAUACCGGAUAGUUCCUUGAACCGCAGGGUUCAAGGAUGAAAGACGGUUUCGGCUGUCACUUACAGAUGGACCCGCGGCGCAUUAGCUAGUUGGUGAGGUAACGGCUCACCAAGGCGACGAUGCGUAGCCRACCUGAGAGGGUGAUCGGCCACACUGGGACUGAGACACGGCCCAGACUCCUACGGGAGGCAGCAGUAGGGAAUCUUCCGCAAUGGACGAAAGUCUGACGGAGCAACGCCGCGUGAGUGAUGAAGGUUUUCGGAUCGUAAAGCUCUGUUGUUAGGGAAGAACAAGUGCAAGAGUAACUGCUUGCACCUUGACGGUACCUAACCAGAAAGCCACGGCUAACUACGUGCCAGCAGCCGCGGUAAUACGUAGGUGGCAAGCGUUGUCCGGAAUUAUUGGGCGUAAAGGGCUCGCAGGCGGUUUCUUAAGUCUGAUGUGAAAGCCCCCGGCUCAACCGGGGAGGGUCAUUGGAAACUGGGAAACUUGAGUGCAGAAGAGGAGAGUGGAAUUCCACGUGUAGCGGUGAAAUGCGUAGAGAUGUGGAGGAACACCAGUGGCGAAGGCGACUCUCUGGUCUGUAACUGACGCUGAGGAGCGAAAGCGUGGGGAGCGAACAGGAUUAGAUACCCUGGUAGUCCACGCCGUAAACGAUGAGUGCUAAGUGUUAGGGGGUUUCCGCCCCUUAGUGCUGCAGCUAACGCAUUAAGCACUCCGCCUGGGGAGUACGGUCGCAAGACUGAAACUCAAAGGAAUUGACGGGGGCCCGCACAAGCGGUGGAGCAUGUGGUUUAAUUCGAAGCAACGCGAAGAACCUUACCAGGUCUUGACAUCCUCUGACAACCCUAGAGAUAGGGCUUUCCCUUCGGGGACAGAGUGACAGGUGGUGCAUGGUUGUCGUCACCUCGUGUCGU
RNAcentral lists this ribosomal RNA (1030 nucleotides) under Bacillus sp. (in: firmicutes). Its description in RNAcentral is "bacterial SSU rRNA". It matches the Rfam family "Bacterial small subunit ribosomal RNA", at positions 56 to 1068 of the family's 1533-position model. The record is from RNAcentral. Lineage: Bacteria; Bacillati; Bacillota; Bacilli; Caryophanales; Bacillaceae.